UAUAUAUAUGUGUGUGUGUGUGUGUGUAAAUGUGAUGAUAUAGUAGUAUAGUUCAUAGCCAAUUGAGAUGAAGCAUCACUCCUUCUAAGCCGUCAGUAUAAUAAAGGUUUAUGAUGCUGCUGCCUCAAAAAGGGAUGCAACCAGAUUUCGGCAACUGCUUCAACAAGAUCCAUAUCUGAUUUAUACGGUUUCGUUUCCAUGUUCAAGAAAUCUUCUGCACGUAGCAACGCUACUGAGGCAAGUAGCCAUCGUUGAAGAGGUGCUCAACCUUAAUCCGCAGCUAGCUCAGAUUUCCGACUCCCAAAAAUUACGACUAAUAUCUAAGAGACAAGGCCAAAUCCAUAUAUCUUCUAGAAACAGUACUGUCAGAGAAGAGAGAGCAGACAAUGAUGGUGAUGACCCUGAUCGCGACCAUGGCCAUAGUGAGGCCGUCAUGGCAAAUACUCACCCCAAGAUAUACAGGCAGCUUUCAUCUCAUCUGUCAUCACAAUAUUCUUGGUGUUAGAAGAUAUUGAAAGAUAUCGGAGAAUAUCACGGGAAAUCAAGAAAAGAUACGGGAGUAUAUUUAGCCUAAAAUAGAGGAAGCAAUCAAUGUAAAUUAGGUUUUCCUUUUUUGUAAAUAUUGUGUAGUCUAUAUAAUAUGUAAUCCCUAUCAUCUAAUUACAUUGAAUAAGAAUGAUAUCGAUUACCCAA
Long non-coding RNA from Salvia splendens (bonfire salvia), 693 nucleotides. RefSeq lists it as uncharacterized. NCBI's taxonomy places the organism in Eukaryota, Viridiplantae, Streptophyta, Magnoliopsida, Lamiales, Lamiaceae. The transcript has 2 exons. The record is from RefSeq and is a predicted model, not a curated record.